This 54-nucleotide transfer RNA is filed under the name Pholcus sp. HCP-2014. RNAcentral describes it as "tRNA-Leu". The record is from RNAcentral. Lineage: Eukaryota; Metazoa; Arthropoda; Arachnida; Araneae; Pholcidae.
GUCCUCGUGGCAGAUAAAUGCGCUAAGUUUAAGCCUUAGAUAUCCUCUCCUACA